GAUGAAGAACGCAGCGAAAUGCGAUAAGUAAUGUGAAUUGCAGAAUUCAGUGAAUCAUCGAAUCUUUGAACGCACAUUGCGCCCGCUAGUAUUCUGGCGGGCAUGCCUGUCCGAGCGUCAUUUCAACCCUCAAGCCCCCGGGCUUGGUGUUGGGGAUCGGCGAGCCUCCGCGCCCGCCGUCCCCUAAAUCUAGUGGCGGUCUCGCUGUAGCUUCCUCUGCGUAGUAGCACACCUCGCACUGGGAAACAGCGCGGCCACGCCGUUAAACCCCCAACUUCUGAACGUUUGACCUAGGAUCAGGUAGGAAUACCCGCUGAACUUAAGCAUAUCAAUAAGCGGAGGA
Molecule: unclassified non-coding RNA, 343 nt
Filed under: soil metagenome
Description: partial contains 5.8S ribosomal RNA, internal transcribed spacer 2, and large subunit ribosomal RNA
Rfam family: 5.8S ribosomal RNA (bases 1-120)
Source: RNAcentral